AAAUUGAAGAGUUUGAUCAUGGCUCAGAUUGAAUGCUGGCGGCAGGCCUAACACAUGCAAGUCGAACGGUAACAGGAAACAGCUUGCUGUUUCGCUGACGAGUGGCGGACGGGUGAGUAAUGUCUGGGAAACUGCCUGAUGGAGGGGGAUAACUACUGGAAACGGUAGCUAAUACCGCAUAACGUCGCAAGACCAAAGAGGGGGACCUUCGGG
This 213-nucleotide ribosomal RNA is filed under the name Escherichia coli. RNAcentral's name for it is "partial 16S ribosomal RNA". It matches the Rfam family "Bacterial small subunit ribosomal RNA", at positions 1 to 209 of the family's 1533-position model. Lineage: Bacteria; Pseudomonadati; Pseudomonadota; Gammaproteobacteria; Enterobacterales; Enterobacteriaceae. The record is from RNAcentral.